This 2240-nucleotide ribosomal RNA is filed under the name human gut metagenome. Its description in RNAcentral is "bacterial LSU rRNA". It matches the Rfam family "Bacterial large subunit ribosomal RNA", at positions 597 to 2824 of the family's 2925-position model. The record is from RNAcentral.
CCGCAUGCCUUUUGCAUAAUGAGCCUGCGACUUACUCUAACGAGCGAGGUUAAGUUGAGAACGAAGCCGAAGCGAAAGCGAGUGUUAAUAGCGCGUCUAGUUCGUUGGAGUAGACCCGAAGCUGGGUGAUCUAUCCAUGGCCAGGUUGAAUCUUCGGUAACACGGAGUGGAGGACCGAACCAGUUCAUGUUGAAAAAUGUUUGGAUGAGCUGUGGAUAGGGGUGAAAGGCCAAUCAAACCCAGUGAUAGCUGGUUCUCUUCGAAAUAGCUUUAGGGCUAGCCUUACGCAAUAGCGUGUGGGGGUAGAGCACUGAUUAUUCGCGGGCCCUUACCGGGGUACCAACAAUUAUCAAACUCCGAAUACCACAUAGCCGUACCGUAGGAGUCAGACUGUGGGGGAUAAGCUUCAUAGUCGAGAGGGAGACAGCCCAGAUCGCCGGUUAAGGUCCCAAAUUUAAGCUUAGUGGAAAGAAGGAUGUGGAGUUGCAUAAACAGCCAGGAUGUUGGCUUAGAGGCAGCCACCAUUUAAAGAGUGCGUAAUAGCUCACUGGUCGAGUGAUUCCGCGCCGAAGAUGAUCGGGACUGAAGCUUAAAACCGAAACCGCGAGUCGUAACAUCAGUUACGGCGGUAGAAGAGCGUUGUAACGGGGGAGAAGCCGAAAUGAGAAUUGAGGUGGACCUGUUACAAGUGACCAUGCAGGCAUGAGUAGCGAAAAACCAGAUGAGAAUUCUGGUCACCGAAAACCUAAGGAUUCCCGGGGCAGGUUCGUCCGCCCGGGGUUAGUCGGACCCUAAGGCGAGGCCGAAAGGCGUAGUCGAUGGAUGACAGGUUAAUAUUCCUGUACCGGUAUAGUGGAGUGAUGGAGGGACGCAGCAUGCUAGGUGAGCCGCCUGCUGAAUUAGGCGGUCGAAGCUCGUAGGGAGCAGGAUAGGCAAAUCCGUUCUGCAAUCCUGAGGAGUGUAAGGUAGCAUCCCGCAAGGGAAGCGAAUUCACUGAUGCACCACUGACGAGAAAAGCUUCUAAACGUUGAAACUGUACCGUCCGUACCGUAAACCGACACAGGUAGGUGAGGCGAGAAGCCUAAGGUGCGCGAGAGAAACCACGUUAAGGAACUCGGCAAAUUGACCCCGUAACUUCGGGAUAAGGGGUGCCGCAUGGGUGUAAGGAUUUACUCCUGAAGCCCUAGGCGGUUGCAACAAAGAGGCUGGUGCGACUGUUUAACAAAAACACAGCUCUAUGCUAACUCGCAAGAGGAUGUAUAUGGAGUGACACGUGACCAAUGCCAAAAGGUCAAGGGGAGCGGUUAGCGCAAGCGAAGCUGCAAACUGAAGCCCUGGUGAAUGUCGGCCGUAACUAUAACGGUCCUAAGGUAGCGAAAUUCCUUGUCGGGCAAGUUCCGACCUGCACGAAUCGUGUAACGAUGCCAGCACUGUCUCAACGUGGAUCUCGGCGAAGUUGUAGUUCCGGUGAAAAUGCCGGAUACCUGCGGAAGGACGGAAAGACCCCAUGAACCUUUACUGUAAUCUGAUAUUGGUAUUCGGUUUUAUUUGUGUAGCAUAGGUGGGAGGCUGUGAAACGGCUACGCCAGUACCCGUGGAGCCACAGGUGAAAUACCACCCUGGUGAAAUUGAAUAUCUAACCUUGUUCCGUGAAUCCGGAAAAGGGACCGUGUCAGAGGGUCAGUUUGACUGGGGCGGUUUCCUCCAAAAUUGUAACGGAGGAGCCCGAAGGUACACUCAACGCGGUUGGCAAUCGUGUGUAGAGCGUAAGGGUAGAAGUGUGCUUUACUGUAAGAUCGACGGAUCGAGCAGUUACGAAAGUAGGGCCUAGUGAUCCAGCGAUGGAAUGUGGAAUCGUCGUUGCUCAACGGAUAAAAGGUACUCUGGGGAUAACAGGCUGAUAGCGCCCAAGCGUCCAUAGCGACGGCGCUGUUUGGCACCUCGAUGUCGGCUCAUCACAUCCUGGGGCUGUAGAAGGUCCCAAGGGUCCGGCUGUUCGCCGGUUAAAGUGGUACGCGAGUUGGGUUCAGAACGUCGUAAGACAGUUCGGUCCUUAUCCUCCGCAGGCGCAGGAUAUUUGAUGGGAGCAUUCCUUAGUACGAGAGGACCGGGAAUGACUAACCUCUGGUGUUCCAAUUGUCACGUCAGUGGCAUUGUUGGGUAGCUAAGUUAGGAACGGAUAAGCGCUGAAAGCAUCUAAGCGCCAAGCCCACCCAAAGACAAGAUAUCCCUUCCUUUGG